This 445-nucleotide ribosomal RNA is filed under the name uncultured bacterium. RNAcentral describes it as "bacterial SSU rRNA". It matches the Rfam family "Bacterial small subunit ribosomal RNA", at positions 331 to 793 of the family's 1533-position model. The record is from RNAcentral.
CCAGACUCCUACGGGAGGCAGCAGUGGGGAAUAUUGCACAAUGGGGGAAACCCUGAUGCAGCGACGCCGCGUGAGUGAAGAAGUAUUUCGGUAUGUAAAGCUCUAUCAGCAGGGAAGAUAAUGACGGUACCUGACUAAGAAGCCCCGGCUAACUACGUGCCAGCAGCCGCGGUAAUACGUAGGGGGCAAGCGUUAUCCGGAUUUACUGGGUGUAAAGGGAGCGUAGGUGGCAGGGCAAGUCAGAUGUGAAAACCCGGGGCUCAACCCCGGGACUGCAUUGGAAACUGGCAGGCUGGAGUGCCGGAGAGGCAGGCGGAAUUCCUAGUGUAGCGGUGAAAUGCGUAGAUAUUAGGAGGAACACCAGUGGCGAAGGCGGCCUGCUGGACGGUGACUGACGCUGAGGCUCGAAAGCGUGGGGAGCAAACAGGAUUAGAUACCCCCGUAA